Molecule: ribosomal RNA, 506 nt
Filed under: uncultured bacterium
Lineage: Bacteria
Description: bacterial SSU rRNA
Rfam family: Bacterial small subunit ribosomal RNA
Source: RNAcentral
CUCAGAACGAACGCUGGCGGCGCGUCUUAAGCAUGCAAGUCGAACGGCAAGAGGUAGCAAUACCUCCUAGAGUGGCGGACUGGUGAGUAACACGUGGGUGACAUACCCUUCAGAUGGGGAUAGCUAUUAGAAAUAGUAGAUAAUACCGAAUACGAGCACAGGGGUUAGAGAUCUGUGAGGAAAGGAGCUAAGGCUCCGCUGAAGGAAUGGCCUGCGGCCCAUUAGCUAGUUGGUGAGGUAAGAGCCCACCAAGGCGAUGAUGGGUAUCCGGCCUUAGAGGGUGAACGGACACAUUGGGACUGAGAUACGGCCCAGACUCCUACGGGAGGCAGCAGCUAAGAAUAUUCCGCAAUGGACGAAAGUCUGACGGAGCGACGCCGCGUGGAUGAAGAAGGCCGGAAGGUUGUAAAAUCCUUUUGAAACUGAAGAAUAAGCGUUGUAGGGAAUGACAGCGUGGUGACAGUAGGUUUUGAAUAAGCAACGGCUAAUUACGUGCCAGCCGCCGC